Molecule: long non-coding RNA, 454 nt
Organism: Symphalangus syndactylus (siamang)
Lineage: Eukaryota; Metazoa; Chordata; Mammalia; Primates; Hylobatidae
Source: RefSeq, a predicted model, not a curated record
CCCCGGGCCAUUCUUUUAAAGCCCAGGCAGAGCACGGGUGGGAAGCGUGCGAGGAGAGCUGAGCCAGAGAGUUGGGGGGAGGAGAAGAAUUAGAGGAGACAGCACUGAUUGCAGUGACAGAAGCGGUGCCAGUUAACUCCCCACCAUCAAAAGUAUCUUCUGCUAUAGCCUGGCACAAGUUUCAAGCAUCCAUUGGGGGUCUUGGGAUGCGUCGCCCUGCAGAUAAGGGCAACUGCUGUGCAGCAUGAACAGUAUGGAAAUAAUACUUAUCUUCAUGGAGUUUAUAUUAGAGUAAGACAAGAGGUAGGAGACUGCCUAUUUUAUUGUUCUCUUGAAAAGACUGGGUAUUUUACUUUUAUGAAAGGCUUUAUAGCCUGCAGGGGCAUUCUAAUAUGGAUUUUGGGGGUGAAGAGAGAAACAGGUGUGGGAAGUAAGUUCAGGGGUACAGAGACCC